GAUGAACGCUGGCGGUGUGCCUAAUACAUGCAAGUCGAGCGAACAGACGAGGAGCUUACUCCUCUGACGUUAGCGGCGGACGGGUGAGUAACACGUGGAUAACCUACCUAUAAGACUGGGAUAACUUCGGGAAACCGGAGCUAAUACCGGAUAACAUGUUGAACCGCAUGGUUCAACAGUGAAAGACGGUCUUGCUGUCACUUAUAGAUGGAUCCGCGUCGCAUUAGUUAGUUGGUAAGGUAACGGCUUACCAAGGCAACGAUGCGUAGCCGACCUGAGAGGGUGAUCGGCCACACUGGAACUGAGACACGGUCCAGACUCCUACGGGAGGCAGCAGUAGGGAAUCUUCCGCAAAGGGCGAAAGCCUGACGGAGCAACGCCGCGUGAGUGAAGAAGGUCUUCGGAUCGUAAAACUCUGUUAUUAGGGAAGAACAAAUGUGUAAGUAACUAUGCACGUCUUGACGGUACCUAAUCAGAAAGCCACGGCUAACUACGUG
RNAcentral lists this ribosomal RNA (497 nucleotides) under uncultured bacterium. RNAcentral describes it as "partial 16S ribosomal RNA". It matches the Rfam family "Bacterial small subunit ribosomal RNA", at positions 28 to 507 of the family's 1533-position model. The record is from RNAcentral.